This 261-nucleotide ribosomal RNA is filed under the name uncultured soil bacterium. Its description in RNAcentral is "partial 16S ribosomal RNA". It matches the Rfam family "Bacterial small subunit ribosomal RNA", at positions 26 to 281 of the family's 1533-position model. The record is from RNAcentral.
AGAAUCAACGCUGGCGGCGUGCCUAACACAUGCAAGUCGAACGCGAAAUGGGCUUCGGCCCAAAUCGAGUGGCGAACGGGUGAGUAACACGUGGGUGAUCUACCUUCGAGCGGGGGAUAACGUCCGAAAGGACGCUAAUACCGCAUGACGUCCUGGGUUUAAGACCUGGAGACCAAAGCUAGGGACCGCAAGGCCUGGCACUUGAAGAGGAGCCCGCGUCCGAUUAGCUAGUUGGCGGGUAAUGGCCCACAAGGCACGAUC